Molecule: ribosomal RNA, 122 nt
Filed under: Propithecus coquereli (Coquerel's sifaka)
Lineage: Eukaryota; Metazoa; Chordata; Mammalia; Primates; Indriidae
Source: RNAcentral
AGUGGCCAUACCACCGUGAAUGUGCCAGAUCUUGUCUGAUCUUGGAGGCUAAGCAGGAUUGAGCCUGCUUGGGUAGGUGAAAUGAAUGAAGCAUGGACUCUGUCAGUUGGCCACACCCAUUG